RNAcentral lists this ribosomal RNA (1298 nucleotides) under Poecilimon jonicus lobulatus. Its description in RNAcentral is "16S ribosomal RNA". The stretch from base 871 to 1226 matches the Rfam family "Bacterial large subunit ribosomal RNA", at positions 2077 to 2643 of the family's 2925-position model. Lineage: Eukaryota; Metazoa; Arthropoda; Insecta; Orthoptera; Tettigoniidae. The record is from RNAcentral.
AUAAUAUUAUUAAAGUUAUUUGAAAUAAAGUUAUUAAUUAAAGUAAUUUUAGGAAUGUAUUUUUAGUAUAGUUUAUAGAAUUUAUGCAGUGAAUAAUAGAGAAGUAGUACUGUGGAGGACAUAUGAAAUAUAUGAAAUAGUUAUUAGGGUGAAAGAAGAAUAUAAUUUGUACCUUGAGUAUCAGGGUUUAUUAAUUAGUGAUAAAGAUUUAUAGUUCUCGAAUUUAAAAGAGUUAAAAUAGUAUAGUAGUUAAUGUGGUAUUAUUAUUACUAAUAUUAUUUUAGGGAUGAAAUGUUAAACGUUUUUUAAGUUAUCUAGUUUUCUAAGAAAUGAAUUUAAUUCAUGUUAUUAAGAGUAAAUAUUUAUUUGAAUUAAUAGUUUAUUUUUGAUAUCAAAUGUAUGAAGGGAUAAGCUUUUAUAUAAAUGCUAUAAAUUGUAAGGUUAAGAAAGAGUUGUAGGCUUUAAAUUAGCCAUCUUUGAGAUAAUGUUAUAAAUUGUUUUAUGGUUAAAUUAUUUUUAAUGAGUUUAGGUUGUUUAUUAGAAUAUUAUGUUAAAUAGAUUAAUAUAAGUAAUGAUGAUAAAAUGAGUAUAUGAAGUUGUUUAUGUGGUUUUAUACUAAAAUUUAUAAUAAGGAAUUAGGCAAAUUAUCACUCGCCUGUUUAUCAAAAACAUCUUCUUUUGAUUAUAUGUAUAAGGUAGGGCCUGCCCACUGAAAUUAUUUGAAGGGCCGCGGUAUUAUGACCGUGCAAAGGUAGCAUAAUCAUUAGUCUUUUAAUUGAGGGCUGGAAUGAAUGGUUUGACGAGGUGAUAACUGUCUCAUUAUAAUAUAUAGAAGUUAACUUUUGAGUCAAAAGGCUUAAAUUUUAAUAGAGGACGAGAAGACCCUAUAGAGCUUUAUAUAUAAAUUUAAAUUUGUAUUUAGAAGUUUAUUGGAAUUUAGGUUGAUUAUAUUAUGUUGGGGUGACAUGAAGAUAAAAUGAACUCUUCAUUUUAGUAACAUUGAUAUAUGGAUGUUUGGUCCAUUUUUAAUGAUCAUAAGAUUAAGUUACCUUAGGGAUAACAGCGUAAUUUUUCUUGAGAGUUCAUAUCAACAGAGAAGAUUGCGACCUCGAUGUUGGAUUAAGGAAUAUAAUUGGAUGCAGCAGUUUAAUUAAUAGGUCUGUUCGACCUUUAAAUCCUUACAUGAUCUGAGUUCAGACCGGUGUAAGCCAGGUCGGUUUCUAUCUUUAUUUCAUUUUUAUACUUUAGUACGAAAGGACCAAGUAUUGUAAAAAUUUUAUGUUAUUUGAUUAUUAUUA